This 319-nucleotide ribosomal RNA is filed under the name uncultured eukaryote. Its description in RNAcentral is "partial 18S ribosomal RNA". It matches the Rfam family "Eukaryotic small subunit ribosomal RNA", at positions 1470 to 1796 of the family's 1831-position model. The record is from RNAcentral.
CCCUUAGAUGUUCUGGGCAGCACGCGCGCUACAGUGGUCUUCGCAAACGGAUGCAUUCUCGAAGGAGAAUGCCAAUCUUGGAAUCUAUGCCUUGGUCGGGACAGCUGCUUGCAAUUUUUCGACUCGAACCAGGAAUUCCUUGUAAUCGUGAUUCAUCACAUCACGAUGAAUACGUCCCUGCCCUUUGUACACGCCGCCCGUCGCUCCUACCGAUCGAAGUGUUAGGUGAAUUGUUUUGAUCGAUAAGAUUUGACUAUGGUCAACUCUCGUUGUGAAAUUCUGUGAAUCUGACUGUUUAGAGGAAGGAAAAGUCGUAACA